Molecule: long non-coding RNA, 1051 nt
Filed under: Phascolarctos cinereus (koala)
Lineage: Eukaryota; Metazoa; Chordata; Mammalia; Diprotodontia; Phascolarctidae
Description: lncRNA (ENSPCIG00000035613.1)
Source: RNAcentral
AUGCUGUCAACAUCAACCUGUUCUUAUUCUCAAAGCAACCUACUGAUUCAAAUGUGCUUCAAGAAACUUAUGCUCUACCAUCUUGAAGCUGCUUUAUCUACAAAGACCGUCUUGCUUUUCAACUCAUACAGACUGCUCAGAAGCACAGAAAAUUGGACAUUUUCUGGCCAUAGGGAGGUACAUGUGAGAAUUACUGUCUCCCACCAGUCAAGAGGGAACCAGAGAUCACCUGAGACCUUCAACUUUCUUUUUACCAGACUGAAUUAAAUACAGGAAGGGCUACACCUCUUCCCUGCUUCCAUGGGGUGUCUACCAUACUGCACUGCUGUUGGCAGCAUCUAUGGGUCCUGCAUGCAUUACCUCUGGAAAUUAUGUACUUGCUCACCAAUAUUAAAGCUUAAUCCUUAAAGACUUCUGGCUUCAAAGAGACAAAUAAGAACUUAGAACUUCUCCCUGUUUGACUCCCGGUUUCCCUCCCUGACAAAUAUAAAAUUAUACAUAUAAAGAGAAAAAUUGGCUGAAAAGCUCUGGACUGUCUUUAACUUAAAAAUUACAACCAAAAAAAACCCUGAAAACAAUGGAAAAGGCACUAUAAAAAUGUUCAACAACACACCACUUAGAAGAGAACAUGGUGGAAAAAAACAAAAACAAAAACCCAAGCUUCUGCUAUGUAGAAUUUUGCAAGAUGGCCCACGUACUGGCAAAAUAUCUAUUCACUCUACUUUGCUCCCAAAAUGACAAAUACAAGGUUUACCCAAACCCACAAAUACUUUCUCAGAGCAAAAAGAUCUGAAUUCUGAACAUGUCAGGAGUCCUCUCUUUUCAGUUGCACAUUCUACCUAAAACAGACAUUCUGCAUAGAGAAAAUACCAGUCCACAUGGUUUCUUAUCUUUUAUUAUCUGCAUCAGUUAAGAUUAGGUGUGUCAUUUAAUGUCAUGCACUGAUGGACAGAAGAGAAAGAAUGGGGGAAAAGGGGAUAAAGGAGGGGAAACAGGAACACCUGCGAAAAUCUGUAAUAAAAAUGAUCUUUUCUUAAUUUAAAGGUAAGUU